GAUGAACGCUAGCGGCAGGCUUAACACAUGCAAGUCGAGGGGUAGAAGGAGCUUGCUCCUUUGAGACCGGCGCACGGGUGCGUAACGCGUAUGCAAUCUACCUUUUGCAGAGGGAUAGCCCAGAGAAAUUUGGAUUAAUACCUCAUAGUAUGUGAGGAUGGCAUCAUUUUCACAUUAAAGUCACAACGGCAAAAGAUGAGCAUGCGUCCCAUUAGCUAGUUGGUAAGGUAACGGCUUACCAAGGCUACGAUGGGUAGGGGUCCUGAGAGGGAGAUCCCCCACACUGGUACUGAGACACGGACCAGACUCCUACGGGAGGCAGCAGUGAGGAAUAUUGGACAAUGGGCGCAAGCCUGAUCCAGCCAUGCCGCGUGCAGGAUGACGGUCCUAUGGAUUGUAAACUGCUUUUGUACAGGAAGAAACACUACUUCGUGAAGUAGCUUGACGGUAACUGUAAAGAAUAAGGAUCGGCUAACUCCGUG
Molecule: ribosomal RNA, 482 nt
Filed under: uncultured bacterium
Lineage: Bacteria
Description: bacterial SSU rRNA
Rfam family: Bacterial small subunit ribosomal RNA
Source: RNAcentral